GCCCCCGUUGUCUAAUGGUCAUGACGUCAGACUUCUAAUCUGGAGGUUGCGGGUUCGAGUCCCGCCGGGGGUU
Molecule: transfer RNA, 73 nt
Filed under: Schizophyllum commune H4-8
Lineage: Eukaryota; Fungi; Basidiomycota; Agaricomycetes; Agaricales; Schizophyllaceae
Description: tRNA-Arg (TCT) (tRNA-Arg-TCT-1-1)
Rfam family: tRNA
About the family: Transfer RNA (tRNA) molecules are approximately 80 nucleotides in length. Their secondary structure includes four short double-helical elements and three loops (D, anti-codon, and T loops).
Source: RNAcentral